UGCGGAUCUGGGUGUCGAAGCAUUUUGUACAGUCGAAAUCAGAAGCUUCUAGAAGAGGCUUCGCAUGCUGCCUCACUCGUGCUCCGGGCUGCAUGGCGGGGCGCUUUCGGUGCCCUGGCCUGGAGCCCCUAACCUGGAUGUUACUGCAACUGGGUCUCCAAUCAGUGUGUGGUCUCAGGACGUUCCCUCCCUCUGCGCCUCAGCCGCUCCCCGACUCCGGCUCUCUCCCACAGCGCGGGGUCUGGGACGGGCUUCCCAUUCUACGCAGGGAGCUGCUCUCCCGUAGACUGACCCCAGGUCUUCAGUCCUUUCUCCAAAACCUCACAGGCUCCAAAAUUCAAAGUCCCCAGGACUUCAGAAAGGGACAGCGUGCCCGUCACGUCUACCGCGUAGCCCCGGCUACAUUCUCGGCAGCUCCCUGCCACGGGGCAUUAGCCUCCCAGCAAAGCCGGCGAACAGGACGAUGCAUGUGAGAUGGGGUCGAGGCGACUCGGCUCAGAUCAGAAAGAACGUCAGUCCCGCUGCUCCCGAUUUGAGGCUGCUGCAGACGGGGCUGGUCUCAGCGGCA
Molecule: long non-coding RNA, 568 nt
Organism: Mustela erminea (ermine)
Lineage: Eukaryota; Metazoa; Chordata; Mammalia; Carnivora; Mustelidae
Exons: 3
Source: RefSeq, a predicted model, not a curated record